This 355-nucleotide transfer-messenger RNA is filed under the name Kiritimatiellia. RNAcentral's name for it is "VGWI01 sp016873655 X1 Standard tmRNA". It matches the Rfam family "transfer-messenger RNA". Rfam says of the family: Bacterial tmRNA, also known as 10Sa RNA or SsrA, is named for its dual tRNA and mRNA-like properties. Its role is to liberate the mRNA from a stalled ribosome. To accomplish this part of the tmRNA is used as a reading frame that ends in a translation stop signal. RNAcentral also lists the same sequence under 1 other name. Lineage: Bacteria; Pseudomonadati; Kiritimatiellota. The record is from RNAcentral.
GGGGGCGACCGGUUUUCGACGGGAUGGUUGAAGCUCCGGUUGCGCGCCGAGGACCCCGGUUGGCCUCGUUAAUCAUCCGGGACAAAACACAAGUGCCAACGAGGAAUUGGCUCUCGCUGCCUGAUUGACAGCGACGUUCCGUUGCCGACGCCUGCUGGGCGGCGGGGCGCAAAAAGCAGGCUGGCGGAUCGGCCGGGCGACCGGGCCGGGCCGCGAGAAACUCCCGUGGACGCUGGUUGCGAGCGAAGCCUGUCUGUCGGCGGCGCCCGCGGCGAGAUCCAGUUGACAGAACACGCGCGUAGACGCCUGGGCAACGCCAUCGCGGACGGGGGUUCGAUUCCCCCCGCCUCCACCA